UGAAAAAACACUGGACUUUGGAGCUAACAAAACUAUCCAAACUGAAGGGCCAGAGUCAGAAAACAAGGGCAAAAGUCCUCAGACAGUAGCAGAGAUGAAAAUGAGCUGUUGACAGGUGGGCUGCUCUCCUACACAUCUCCCCACAGUGGUAGAUUCCAUCCUCAAAGCCGCCUCAUGAUUAUCAGAGAGCUGCUGUACAUGAGCUUGGGCAUUCCAGGCAGAAAGAAGGAAGGGAAGAGGAGAAGUGGGUGCCUGCCAGAAUGCUUCCAUGUCCCACCAAGCAGGGCCCCAAACUCCCCAAGGACAGAAGCUCCUUUGUCCAGGACCUUCCCCCGUGUACCUCUUCAUCUGGCUGUUGAUUUGUAUCCUUCUUAUAUCCUUUAAUAACCUGGUAAACAUAAGUUUGCAAAUUUGCCAGAAGGGCUAAGAAGGCUGCGGCAGGCAUCCCACUAGCAGCAGCAGAGAAGCCUCGGGGCAGCCAGAGCUUUACAGACCAGCUGAAGCAGGUGCUGGAAUGCAACUGGAGUGAAAACAGUGAAUUGCGAGGAUGUGGACUCGGUGAACAGGUGUCCCUUACACAGCUUUGUAUAAAGCUUAGAGACUGAAAUACCUGGUUCUUCAAGUCAUGACUCUUCUUAAUUAGAACGUGGUGAGACCUAAGUUUUAUUUUAUUUUUAUUUUAGGAUAAGAACUACUAUAGAAGAAAAGGCUGAGUGGAAGCCCCU
This is a long non-coding RNA of Manis pentadactyla (Chinese pangolin), 725 nucleotides long. RefSeq lists it as uncharacterized. The transcript is spliced from 4 exons. The record is from RefSeq and is a predicted model, not a curated record. NCBI's taxonomy places the organism in Eukaryota, Metazoa, Chordata, Mammalia, Pholidota, Manidae.